CAAUAUGAAGGUCAGGCUGAAGACCUUACCCGAUUAGCUGAGAGGUGGUGCAUGGCCGUCGUCAGUUCGUACUGUGAAGCAUCCUGUUAAGUCAGGCAACGAGCGAGACCCACGUCCACAGUUGCCAGCAUACCCUCCGGGGUGAUGGGUACACUGUGGAGACCGCCGCUGCUAAAGCGGAGGAAGGAGUGGGCAACGGUAGGUCAGUAUGCCCCGAAUCUCCCGGGCUACACGCGGGCUACAAUGGUUGGUACAAUGGGCAUCUACCCCGAAAGGGGAAGGAAAUCUCUUAAAGCCAAUCGUAGUUCGGAUUGAAGGCUGCAACUCGCCCUCAUGAAGCUGGAAUCCGUAGUAAUCGCGUUUCAACAGAACGCGGUGAAUACGUCCCUGCUCCUU
Molecule: ribosomal RNA, 396 nt
Filed under: uncultured Methanosaeta sp.
Lineage: Archaea; Methanobacteriati; Methanobacteriota; Methanomicrobia; Methanotrichales; Methanotrichaceae
Description: bacterial SSU rRNA
Rfam family: Archaeal small subunit ribosomal RNA
Source: RNAcentral